Molecule: ribosomal RNA, 498 nt
Filed under: uncultured bacterium
Lineage: Bacteria
Description: partial 16S ribosomal RNA
Rfam family: Bacterial small subunit ribosomal RNA
Source: RNAcentral
AUUGAACGCUGGCGGCAUGCCUUACACAUGCAAGUCGAACGGUAACAGGUCUUCGGAUGCCGACGAGUGGCGAACGGGUGAGUAAUACAUCGGAACGUGCCCGAUCGUGGGGGAUAACGAAGCGAAAGCUUUGCUAAUACCGCAUAAGAUCUAAGGAUGAAAGCAGGGGACCGCAAGGCCUUGCGCGAACGGAGCGGCCGAUGGCAGAUUAGGUAGUUGGUGGGAGAAAAGCUUACCAAGCCGACGGUCUGUAGCUGGCCUGAGAGGACAACCAGCCACACUGGAGCUGAGUCACGGCCCAGACUCCUACGGUAGGCAGCAGGGGGGACUUUUGGACAAUGAGCGACAGCCUGAACCAGCCAUGCCGCGUACAGGAUGAGGGCCUUCGGGUUGUAAACUGCUUUUGUACGGAACCAAAAGACUCUUGCUAAUAAAGAGGGUCCAUGACGGUACCGUAAGAAUAAGCACCGGCUAACUACGUGCCAGCCGCCGCAGUAA